This 129-nucleotide small nucleolar RNA is filed under the name Meriones unguiculatus (Mongolian gerbil). RNAcentral describes it as "Small nucleolar RNA SNORA48 (ENSMUGG00000019627.1)". It matches the Rfam family "Small nucleolar RNA SNORA48". Rfam says of the family: The snoRNA ACA 48 has been identified to guide pseudouridylation of the residue U3797 in the 28S rRNA subunit. Lineage: Eukaryota; Metazoa; Chordata; Mammalia; Rodentia; Muridae. The record is from RNAcentral.
CCCCCCGGUAAUGGGCAAAGAGACACCUUGUUCGUGGUGUUCUUACAUCAGUCAGGGGAAGAGUCUUUGUUCAUCCUAGCUUGAUGCCUGGCUUGGUGGCCAAAGCUGGUUUAUGCCUAGGACACAUAA